UAGAGCAUCACUGAAAGCUCUUGUUUGAGCUUUGUUUAAGCUUUGGAUCGGGCCUGACUGCCUUGCUUUUGCUCUUGGUGCUGAUAAAAAUAGUUUAUCUUGGUUUCCUCCCUAUAUUGUAAAAACUAGGUGUGGAUGUGGUUCGGGAAUCGCAAACCGCCUGAGACAUUGAGGUAUUUCAUUAUUUGGGACCGCUACCGUCCGUAUUUUUCCAGUUAAUCGUGAUUCGGUGGAACUGCAACUCCGGUCAAUGUUCGCAAAAAAUGCAGAAUCCACCGAUUGACUGAGAAAGAGGGAGAGAAAGAGAGAAAUCGACAGAGAAAGAGAAGAGGGAGAGAGAUGAUAGAGAAAGAGAAUGAAAAAAAGAAAUUGCAAAUCGAAGAGAGGGAGAAAGAAGAAAAAAAGUCGAAGAGGGAAAGAGAAAGAAGAAGAAAUUCCGAAAAGCUUGUCAGACGGCGAGAGGAAGAAGGAAAAAAGGAAAAAAAAGAAAGAGAGAGGGAGAGAAGAAGAAGGGAAGAGAGAGAGAGAGAGAGAGAGAGAGAGAGAGAGAGAGAGAGAGAGAGAGAUUUUUAUCACAAAUGGUUCCUAAGGUUUGCGAAAUUAUCACCUAUCGUCUCUUACUUUUUUUGUGACACUAACGGUCCUUAAGGUUACCCUCCACACAUCAAAAUGAUCCUUACCGUUAGCUUCCGUCAAAUUUUUUAUUAAAUUGCUGACAUGGCACAUGUAUGGAGCUCAC
This 739-nucleotide long non-coding RNA is filed under the name Prunus persica (peach). RNAcentral describes it as "long non-coding RNA (PPER_LNC001296)". Lineage: Eukaryota; Viridiplantae; Streptophyta; Magnoliopsida; Rosales; Rosaceae. The record is from RNAcentral.